This 483-nucleotide ribosomal RNA is filed under the name uncultured bacterium. Its description in RNAcentral is "partial 16S ribosomal RNA". It matches the Rfam family "Bacterial small subunit ribosomal RNA", at positions 28 to 523 of the family's 1533-position model. The record is from RNAcentral.
GACGAACGCUGGCGGCGUGCUUAACACAUGCAAGUCGAACGAUGAAGCCGGAGCUUGCUCCGGUGGAUUAGUGGCGAACGGGUGAGUAACACGUGAGCAAUCUGCCCUUGACUCUGGGAUAACUGCGGGAAACUGUAGCUAAUACCGGAUACGACACCUUGGGGCAUCCCAGGGUGUGGAAAGAAUUUCGGUCAAGGAUGAGCUCGCGGCCUAUCAGCUAGUUGGUGAGGUAAUGGCUCACCAAGGGGACGACGGGUAGCCGGCCUGAGAGGGUAACCGGCCACACUGGAACUGAGACACGGUCCAGACUCCUACGGGAGGCAGCAGUGGGGAAUAUUGCACAAUGGGCGAAAGCCUGAUGCAGCAACGCCGCGUGAGGGAUGAAGGCCUUCGGGUUGUAAACCUCUUUUAGCAGGGAAGAAGCGAAAGUGACGGUACCUGCAGAAAAAGCACCGGCUAACUACGUGCCAGCAGCCGCGGUAA